This 282-nucleotide unclassified non-coding RNA is filed under the name uncultured fungus. RNAcentral describes it as "partial contains small subunit ribosomal RNA, internal transcribed spacer 1, and 5.8S ribosomal RNA". The stretch from base 1 to 73 matches the Rfam family "Eukaryotic small subunit ribosomal RNA", at positions 1759 to 1831 of the family's 1831-position model. Lineage: Eukaryota; Fungi. The record is from RNAcentral.
GCAAACUUGGUCAUUUAGAGGAAGUAAAAGUCGUAACAAGGUCUCCGUUGGUGAACCAGCGGAGGGAUCAUUACAGAGUGUAAACUCCAAACCCAUGUGAACAUACCUCUUUGUUGCCUCGGCAGGCUACCCCGUAGGUGCCCUAUAGCUAUAGGGCCCUAUCUGGUAUGUCCGCCGGUGGUCUUUUAAACUCUUAUUACUUGAGAAUCUGAGUGAAUUAUUUAAUAAGUCAAAACUUUCAACAACGGAUCUCUUGGUUCUGGCAUCGAUGAAGAACGCAGC